CUACGGGCGGCUGCAGUGAGGAAUAUUGGUCAAUGGGCGAAAGCCUGAACCAGCCAUGCCGCGUGAAGGAUGACGGCCCUAUGGGUUGUAAACUUCUUUUAUACGGGAAGAAACACCUCUACGUGUAGAGGUUUGACGGUACCGUACGAAUAAGCAUCGGCUAACUGCGGUGCCAGCAGCCGCGGUAAUACGGAGGAUGCAAGCGUUAUCCGGAUUUAUUGGGUUUAAAGGGUACGUAGGCGGAAACUUAAGUCAGUAGUGAAAUCCCGCAGCUUAACUGUGGAACUGUUAUUGAUACUGGGUUUCUUGAAUAUUGUUGAGGUAGGCGGAAUAAGUAAUGUAGCGGUGAAAUGCUUAGAUAUUACUUAGAACACCGAUUGCGAAGGCAGCUUACUAAGCAAUUAUUGACGCUGAGGUACGAAAGCGUGGGGAGCGAACAGGAUUAGAUACCCUGGUAGUC
This 460-nucleotide ribosomal RNA is filed under the name uncultured bacterium. RNAcentral describes it as "partial 16S ribosomal RNA". It matches the Rfam family "Bacterial small subunit ribosomal RNA", at positions 339 to 795 of the family's 1533-position model. The record is from RNAcentral.